UACAGAGGGGGCAAGCGUUAUUCGGAAUUAUUGGGCGUAAAGGGCGCGUAGGCGGCUUUGCAAGUGACGGGUGAAAUCCCUCGGCUUAACCGAGGAACUGCCUGUCAAACUGCAUGGCUUGAGACCGGGAGAGGUGAGUGGAAUUCCCAGUGUAGCGGUGAAAUGCGUAGAUAUUGGGAGGAACACCAGUGGCGAAGGCGGCUCACUGGACCGGUACUGACGCUGAGGCGCGAAAGCGUGGGGAGUGAACAGG
This 253-nucleotide ribosomal RNA is filed under the name uncultured bacterium. Its description in RNAcentral is "partial 16S ribosomal RNA". It matches the Rfam family "Bacterial small subunit ribosomal RNA", at positions 524 to 776 of the family's 1533-position model. The record is from RNAcentral.